Molecule: ribosomal RNA, 518 nt
Filed under: Xanthochorema sp. T7
Lineage: Eukaryota; Metazoa; Arthropoda; Insecta; Trichoptera; Hydrobiosidae
Description: partial 16S ribosomal RNA
Rfam family: Bacterial large subunit ribosomal RNA (bases 395-518)
Source: RNAcentral
GUCUUUUUGAUAUAUUUAUUUAAAGUCUAAUCUGCUCACUGAAUUUAAAUUUAAAGAGCCGCAGUAUUUUAACUGUGCAAAGGUAGCAUAAUAAAUUGUUUUUUAAUUGAAAACUAGAAUGAAUGAUUGAAUGAAAUAUAUUCUGUCUCAAUUUUAAUUUAGUAAAAAUUAAUUUUUUAGUUAAAAAGCUAAAAUUAAUUUAAAAGACGAGAAGACCCUAUAGAUUUUUAUAUAUUUAUUAAUUAAUUUAUAUUUUUAUAAAUUAAAAUGUAUUUAUUAUUAAAUAUAUUUUAUUGGGGUAAUAGAAAAAUAAAUAAAACUUUUAUUUAAUAGAACCAUAAAUUAAUGAAAAUUUGAUCCAAAUUUAAUGAUUAAAAGAUUAAAUUACCUUAGGGAUAACAGCGUAAUUUUAAUUUUAAGUUCUUAUUGAAAUUAAAGAUUGCGACCUCGAUGUUGGAUUAAGAAAAAUUUUAAAAGAAGAAUUUUAAAUUUUAGGUCUGUUCGACCUUUAAAAUCUU